Molecule: non-coding RNA, 334 nt
Organism: Biomphalaria pfeifferi
Lineage: Eukaryota; Metazoa; Mollusca; Gastropoda; Planorbidae
Source: the annotation of a GenBank genome assembly
AAAAAAAAAAAAAAAAGUCUUAACAAUAAUGGUCUCAGCAGCUCAGGUCACCAGUUUGUACAGCCUUGUUGUGUAGGUAUCAAAGUAGAAACAAUGUUGACAAAAAAUACAACAAUGAUUUCAUUUCAAAAACAAAACUGAAGAUUUCAAAACACAACAAACAUCUAACUUUACUAAUAGUUUAAAAAAAAAAAGAAUGGUCUAAUCUUAACAAUCAUACCAUAUGAAACAAACGCACACAAUUCCAGAAUGACUUGAUCAAGCAUCCAGACAAUCAUGCUGGCUAAAAUAAACAGACGCCACCAGAACAACUGGCCCUGGCAUGCGCACAAUC